GAUGAAGAACGUAGUGAAAUGCGAUAAGUAAUGUGAAUUGCAGAAUUCAGUGAAUCAUCGAAUCUUUGAACGCACAUUGCGCCCCCUGGUAUUCCGGGGGGCAUGCCUGUUCGAGCGUCAUUUCACCACUCAAGCCUCGCUUGGUAUUGGGCAACGCGGUCCGCCGCGUGCCUCAAAUCGACCGGCUGGGUCUUCUGUCCCCUAAGCGUUGUGGAAACUAUUUGCUAAAGGGUGCUCGGGAGGCUACGCCGUAAAACAAACCCAUUUCUAAGGUUGACCUCGGAUCAGGUAGGGAUACCCGCUGAACUUAAGCAUAUCAAUAAGCGGAGGA
RNAcentral lists this unclassified non-coding RNA (331 nucleotides) under soil metagenome. RNAcentral's name for it is "partial contains 5.8S ribosomal RNA, internal transcribed spacer 2, and large subunit ribosomal RNA". The stretch from base 1 to 120 matches the Rfam family "5.8S ribosomal RNA", at positions 35 to 154 of the family's 154-position model. The record is from RNAcentral.